Molecule: long non-coding RNA, 2130 nt
Organism: Anopheles gambiae (African malaria mosquito)
Lineage: Eukaryota; Metazoa; Arthropoda; Insecta; Diptera; Culicidae
Exons: 3
Source: RefSeq, a predicted model, not a curated record
UGGAGCCGCUUGUGUUUUGUGGAAUCCUCUUUGCUGCCUGUUUGCCUGUGAACUGAUGGAGAGUUAUUUUUGUAUAUGGAUUAAAGGGUACUUACCGCCGGGUCUUGAUCCAGCGUUGGUGAUGGGAGAAAUGUUUGAAACCAGACGGUCAAACAAUUUAACCAUUUAUUACAUCGCGCUUGGCAAGAUUAUUAAUGGAAUAAGAAUGGAUCUUUUCCAUCGUUUGAUUUUUUCUAGUAUCACAGGCGCUAGCUUCCGCGAGUUAACCAUCCUAUGUGUAUGUGACACACAACUAUAUUUACCAAUAGCUAUAGCCAAGCACCAUAUUCAUAUAAGAUAAGCCGUACACUCAUACAUACAAGAUAAGAUUAGGAUUAGAGUUGAUAGGAAUCAAACUAGGAGAAAUAAAGACAGUUAGAAUCUGGAACUCAAAGCGUUCGCAUCAUUUGAUCCAAAAAUAUAUUAACUGGCGCCCGAAUAGGUUUUAUGUGUGUGAGGGAAGAGUAUAAGUGCAUAUAAAGUAUAAAAAAUCCUACACGUGAAGCUAAACACUUCCAUCGAGUGGUUGAAGGAGCCACUAAUUAUUUGCACCAAGCGAGAACUGCGACACUGUGGAUUUCACCCGAUUGAUUGCUGAGGCCCCUAGUACGGAAAAAAGGACCAUCCUCUGCAAGCUGCCUAGCUUUCCCCCGAAGACAUCAUACUGUGACAAAUUUUGUUUGGUGUACGCGCAUAUUGAUCGACGGUUACCUGCUGGUCUUGCCAACUUCCCGCAAAAUGAUCGACGGAAGGAAAAUGGGGUCCGGUUUUAAAAUGUGAAGCUCUUUCGUAGAAGAGCGCAUUUCAAGGACGCCAAGGAUACGGCUGAACAUGCGCAGCACCAGCCCGUGAUGUCAUUUCCAGACAGACGCCGGCUGUACACGCGCAGCACCAGUCGAGGAUAGCCUAACGAGAAGGGUAGAAGGAAGAACGAGAGGGAGGGUAACGGAAAGUUACCGCAACAUUUGUAGGAGGUGAAGCAUCCAGCCGUGUACAGAGUGUGAGUAUGAUAAAACGCAUGUGGAAAGAGGAAGUUCAAUUAAUAGCAUGCAAAAGUGUACAUAAAGCAAGAGGAAAAGUGUCACAACAACAACCAGCAAUCCGAAAAUGUAAGGGAAGCGAUAAAUAACAGGUUGGCUGAUAAGUCCUCGGUCUGACACAUAUAUGGCGCCGCUAGUAUUGAAUGCAUAUUUUUUUAUAUAGUACCAACCUUUAAAUGAUUCGUGUCAAAAUUUGACGUCGGUAUGUCAAUUAAUUUGUGAGACAGAGCGUCUUUUGUCAAGCAACUUUUGUGUUGUGUUGUUCCACCAAGACAACGCACCGUGCCACAAGUCAUUGAGAACGAUGGACCACACGACGGUGCAGUCUGAUACACUUCCCUCCAAACCUUCCCUUUUUCUUAUAUACCCAACAUUUGUUGGUGAAACAAUAAAUUAAUUUAUUCAGAAAUUGGCAUUUGCCUACCCUACUAGCAAUGAGAAUGAAAAAGUGUGCGACUUUCAGGCGAGGGGCAUGGAGAAGCAGGGGGAGACGGUUGGAAAUACGCGGAAUUACGCGGAGGCGCGAGCGUGUUUUGGUUUCUACACAGUUUUUGCACUCACACAAUUACACAUGUGUGAAUGUGUGCGUUCACUUUCAGCCUGCGCGCUCAGUUUGGUUUUCUCGCAGCGGCAUGCGGGUAUCGGUGUCUCGCUCGCACUAGUGCAGCGAGUGUUCCUCUGUGCGCUCCCCUUCUUGCCACCACACGAAAUCGACAGUUCAGCUCAAGCGUUCGCCGUGAAAGGCUGCGCGCGUGUUAGCCUAAGUCCCGGGCGAUCGAAGUUUCGCUAAGUGUUGAAGUGUUGUGCACAUUGAAAUGAAGCUGCGCUUAUUUGUUAUCAUUUAUCCUAAAUGUGUGAUUUGCGUUGCUUCAUUUUAAUAUUUGUUUGCUGUAUUGAACAUCAACAACGGUAUCCAUGCAGUUAGGCGACUAUUUUAAAUACGGCGAUUUUUUUUAUAUAAAUAAUGUGUGUGAUUUUGUGGCAAGAUUGUGUGAAGCUAUGUGUGAAAAUGCCCCUUUAUUUGCAAUAAAAGUGAUAAAAUAUAAACCAA